Hermetia illucens (black soldier fly) is the source of this 2350-nucleotide long non-coding RNA. RefSeq lists it as uncharacterized. The transcript is spliced from 2 exons. The record is from RefSeq and is a predicted model, not a curated record. NCBI's taxonomy places the organism in Eukaryota, Metazoa, Arthropoda, Insecta, Diptera, Stratiomyidae.
UGCGCAGAAAAAAACUUGGCAAUCUCACUAACCCAUUCCCAAGUGGGGCCGGCAUGCUGAAGGGCAGGGCAAUUUGAAAUCGUGCGUACUCGCAUUGAUUUCCCUUCUUGAGCGGCAAUGGGGAGUGUGGUAGCGGUCCAGUAUCUACCUGUGGCCCGGACUUUUUAAGCAAUAGCCUUUCUCCCGUUCACAAGCAGGGUCGGCUCGUCGUAAUCGGCUUCCAAACACAAAUUUAUUUUUUCCGGAUCGUAUAAAUAGUGUUAGUUGAUAUCAAUCGAUUUGCCUCAAAAAAUUCAUCGCGAUCCCGAAAAAGUACUUGAAAGAAUAUAAUGAAAGUAAAAAUGGUUCUACUGAAACAAGUGUUUAUCACUCUUUAACUGUUGAAGUUUCAUUUGCAAUCGUCUCAGAUAAUUUCAAUAUUAAUAUUUGCGGUAAUAGCAAUGUAAAAGAUAAUGGUAAUAUUUGAUGUUGCACAUGUGAAAAGUGUGUCACGUUCACAGCUUUAAUUUUGUAUUCACAGGUAGUAGUAAUAUAAAAGCACUUUACUCAUUUAUGUUAUUAAUGUGGUAAGAAAUACUAUUAAUAAUUGUGAUUGCCCGAAAUUGACCCGCGAUUUAUUGUAUAAUAUAAUAAACUGGUUAUUGGGAGCUUGAAAUAUUCGAUUUUGUGCUGAAUGUUUAACAAGUCGGAAACGGGAAGCUCGGUGCGUCAGAUAUGAAUGAGUUUGUUGAUAUUUUAAGUAAUAAUGUUUGGGUACACGAUGCUUUCAUUUCUACAUAACUAGUAGUGGAUAUCCGUUGACAUCUCCUAAUGGGUACCAAUUUGACCCAAAAGAAGCAACUUUAACACCCGGCAGGUUUCUUAAUAAUAGUAAGAUUUUAAUUUAAUUUGAAUUAUGAUAUUUGCAGUAAUAGCCACAUUUUAUGUAAAAGAUUACCACUAUCUUGAUGUUGCAGACGCGAAAACACAGAUUUAAUUUGAUAUUCACAGCUAGCAGCCAUAUUGUUGCGAGAAGAUUGGCGGACAUAACUAACUUCACUAAUUUGAUAAGCGCUCGACAGCGAUGGGCAAGAAGUGGUUGAAUAAGAUCAACGCUAGUUUCUUAUGUGUUUAACAUUAGUGGAUUAACAAAAUUCAUGAUACUACUUCUAGCUUGGAAAAACAAAUAACUAUAAAAAGACUCUUCUCAUUAUUUAUUUAUUUUCUAGAGGUUUCACAAUCUGGGCAAGUUACGGAUUUCAUAUAAUACUGCCACUAAGUGCCAAGCAUUUAGGCUCUGACCAUCCCACCUACUUCAAAGAUAAAGGAGCGCUGGUGGUGGUGGCCGGUGGUAGGUAAAUGGAAGAAUCCGUAGAGAACUCCCCGCAAUCUCGAGCAUGAAUGUGGAAUGGUAUCUUUUUGCAUAGUUCCAGGACAUCAGAGGAAGCCAUGAGGGAUUUUGGUACAAUACAUGUAUUAUGGCAUCUACAACCAACCGCUCGAGAUGCCAAAUUUCUUUGAUUUCCAAACAAGUGCCUCAUAGUUCACCGUAUUCUCCACGUACUUACGUUCAAUGUUGCUGUUUUGGGGUAUAGCAAUAUCAAUAAUGUGCGCAGAACGACCCGUCUCUGAACUAACAGGACAUUGGGUUUGUUUUACAAUACAUACUGUAAACAGGACGAUUAGGUAGUGCCUGGGGCUCAUAUCAGUAAAACGGACAUGUUCCCGUGAUCAUUCCAUGUUUGUAUGCAAAGCUUUGGUUAAUCACUUUACAUGCAGCAUUGUGUAUUGCACCGCCGCCAUUAUAGUGCAACCAGAAAUAAGAUGGUCCAACGUCUCCAGUGCCGAACCAUAUAUUCUGCAUUGGUCGUUCGCCACCCGCUUUUCAUAAACUCGGGUGGCGACCACGCCGACCCGAAUAGCACACAUAAAUCCCUUCGUCUCAGCAAAGAGCUCUCCAGCACACAGCCAUCUGUUCGACAAAUAUAAAUUGAUAAAUGGUUGCGAAAGACCAUUGACGUGUUUAUCAUGCGUUGCCAUCGAAAUCAUUCAUCGAUCCGUUUUUGGUGUGAGUUCACCCCACUUAGGGAAUGGAAAGAUCGCUCCUUCAAGUAAGUCGAACAAAUAAAUGAAAAAUAUCAUUGUAACAAAAAAUUUAAAUGAUAAAGACCAAAAUAUUAUAUUACCACGACAUAAUUUGAUUAAAUACGCAAAUUCUCAAAUAAAUAUAAAUAACCUUACGUUUAAGAACCAAAUGUACUACAUUGAAAAUAACGUCAUACUACCCAAUGUAAUUAGGAAUAUUAGCUGUGGGGAAUAUAGUAAUUUGACUUUGUAAUAUGUUCAUCAUAAACAUUUGGAAAACCUAGAA